This is a long non-coding RNA of Helianthus annuus (common sunflower), 948 nucleotides long. RefSeq lists it as uncharacterized. The record is from RefSeq and is a predicted model, not a curated record. Lineage: Eukaryota; Viridiplantae; Streptophyta; Magnoliopsida; Asterales; Asteraceae. The transcript has 3 exons.
AGGUAGGUACGGCACACACAUUUUAUGUAUGUGUUUAUCUGUGGGUGUGUAUUCUAAGAGAACAUAUAAUAUAAGAGUAGGUCAAGGAAGGUGUGUUUUUGUCAUAAAUGUCACCUAUACUAGAUGUCUAGUCAUUUGUGUAUUAUUUCUUUUUGAUAUCCUGCAAAAUAUGCGCCUUGUUCCGGUGCUCACGCAGGUGGUGGUGGUGGAAAGCUAGCUAGCUUUCACCAGCUUUAAUUGCAUAUCAUGUUUAUUAUAUGUACUAUAUCUAUAUUAUCCUAAUUUCUUUUGAGUACGUGCCUUUGUUUAAUAACUCGGGUGAGUGAAGGAUGUAGACGUGGAGGAUGAUUGAAGGUUUGUGCAGAUGAUGAGUAAUCCCCUUUUGGGUUCAUGCUCGGGAUGGGAAUCAUUUGUCUACAUGGCACGACUGUAGAGUUCUUGGAAGCAUGUCGUUGGAGCAUCCGUAACACAAGGAUUCUGGUCACGCGAACGUUUAGGUGGAAAUGCAGACGUGUCAUUAACACAUCGACUUGUAUGGCCAUUCCAACAUAGUAUAAGACAACCUAACGGUAUGCAAGUGAGUACGAGCUUGGACUUGGUCUUGGCGAUAUUCCUGGAGCAUAUUCCAUAUUUAUUCCGCACGUGCAUGGCUGAAGUGGACGUUAUGGAGUUCGUGGAGGACUGACACAAAAUGCGGAAUGUUUGUUAGCUUAGAUAUUUUCCAUUUUUAAAGGGGAUAGCGAGCUAAAUAGAAACACUUGGCUAAUUUUAGCUUAACACACACACUCGUAACUGCUCUCACCAGCUCUUGACAAUUCACUUGGCGAUUACACACUUUUGUGCACAUUACACUAUAGUGAUCCUUGUAAUUAGCUCGCUAUCAUCCGAAGUGGUAAUACAUUUCUUGUCUAAUCUGAGUUGGUGAUCGGUAGUUUCCAUCCCCUGAGG